GAAUUUUGAAUGAUAGUAACUACAAGUUUUUUAUAUCUGUGGCAAACUUUAUAUGUUACCAGUAGGUUUAGGGCAGUCUUUAAGAAAAAUAGAACAAAGAAUGUAAAUUAAUUUGAUCACUAUACUUUGGUUAAUAUGGAUCUGUGAUUCAUGUUUUAGCCUUUGAAACUGAAAUUACCUGCUGAAAUGCAUGUAAAAGUGAACAACCAUCUCCCCACUAUUGCUCUUAGCUUUUUCUAUACAUAAUAUAAAAUUAUUGGAUUAAUUUGUAAGGAUGUAGAAUUGUGAAGGCCAGGAUUCUAACUUUUUUAAAUUUUGAUCUCAAGAAAUUCCCUCAAAUAGUACUGUGAUUAAAUAGGUUUGGUUCUAAAGUCAGUCAGCAUGUCUCAAAGGUCUCUAUCAGUGGUGGCAAACCUAUGGCAUGGGUGCCAAAGUGGACUGCUUAUAUCAUUGAAAGCUCUAACAGAUUCACCAUCACUGGUCUAUGUUCUUAAGCAGCGCCAUCUUAGCAGAAAUGAUAUGUAAAUUUUACAUUUUCUAGUAAAUUUUAUAUUAACUAGUAAAUGUAUUAAAAAAGUAACAAGCAGGUGAAGAUUGUUUUUAUUAUAUAUUUUAAUUCAACGUAUCCAGUAUGUUAUUUAAACUUGUAAUCAACACAAAAAAUUAUUUGGGAGGUAUUUUACCUUUGUUUUUAAACCUUAGUCUUCAAAACUAGUUUAUAUUUUACAUUUACAGUAUAUCUCAAUUUGGACUGGUCACAUUUGAAAUGCUCAGCCACGUACAAGUAAUGGCUGCUGUUUUGGAUAGUGCAUUUCUAGAACUGCCUCUUAAAAGUGAAGGCCAUCCUGUGUUCAUAAAAACUUUCUGAAUGUGGACUUUUUAAAAUUAAAAAAAAGGGCCGGGGAUCUAGCUUGCAAGUGGAAGGACCCGAGUUCGAUCCCCGGUACCAAAAAAAAAAAAAGUAAAAUUAACAAAAAAAUGGGAGCCUGAUUUUGUAAAUAAGGGAUAAGAAAUUGGGUUAGUUUAUUUUAUAUAAAUAAGGUAUUUCCAACAAUUCCAAAAAUGUCUUAUAUUGGCCUCCUAUCAUUUCGUGCAUAUAUAUAAUUUUUCCAGUGACACUGAUAAAAAGUUGCCUGAGAUACAUCCUGACAGUUUCUGACAAUCUCCAAAAUACAUUUCCUUCACUAACAAAGUAGAUGAUUCCAAUGACUUCUAAAAUGCUAGCUGAACUUUGGCCCAUUUUAAAGGCUUAAAAACAAACCCUAAUGACCUCUGAUGCACUGACAAUUUGCUUUGGGGCUUAAUAAAGAUCACCACAUCUAGAACCAUCACCACAUUCUCCCAAAGAUUGCCUUUCCACUAGAGACUUUCAGAACUAAAGACAAAAAGUUUCAUACUCAAUACCCAAAUACGAAAUAUUAGUGGACUUACCAUGUAAGCUAACAUGGUCGUUCCUUGCUCAGCUACUCUAAAAUAUGUGGGAAGGAAGGUGGGCUCUUAAUUUGGAUGAAGUCUGCUAUUGCUAGUAAUACACAUGGUAAUGGAAAGCCCAUGAGACAGUUUCAAUUAUUUGCCAAAUAUUAGACUCUUUAAAAUUUCCUGAGUUAUUUUUACCUAUGUGUUUUACAUACCGGUUGAUGAAAGACCGGUCCUAUAAGCAGAAUGAUGGCAGCUUGAUGAAAAGGUUUUUCUUUUUCCAGUAGUAUUCCUUGUCUUCAAAAAGUAGUCCAGUACAUUUUGCCUUGAUUUUUAAGGUUGCAUUCUUGGGAGGAAAGCUUAGCCCAGCCAUAAUUUCUAAAUGUCUUUUUUAUAACCACUCUGAUUGUUACAAGCAAUUAUUAUUCAUAUUUUGGCUAGUUCUUUUUUUCUGUUAAGCACUUUAUGCUUUUUAGUACAUUGUAUUUGAGAAUGUAAUUUAGAAAUUCUUCUGAGCCAUGUAAAAGCUGAUAAAGGAUAAUGAAAAUCAGUGUCCAGUUAUUUUUCAUUUAACUUAUUUUGUGGUGUAUGUAAACAAAAUAGAAAUAUAUUACCUUUUUGUAAUAAUACUGCUUGACUUUAUUUAAGAUGAAUGCCAAGAAGUGUCAGUGAUGUCUUAAUUUCUGACCAAAUUUAUAUUUAUUCUAACACUGAAGAAAUUAAGCCAACUUUUUUUCUAUCAUCAGAUAACCUUAGAAAAUCAUGUACUUUAUAUUACUGCUUAUUUUCAAUAUUUAAGAGAGUAAUUGUCUCAAAUUUUCUACUGUUCCUACUAAUCAGUUAAGACCCCCCAAAGUGCAUUUUUUUCAAGUAUUUUAGUAGCCCAUUCAAAGUAAUGGUGAGGUAAAAAGUAAAUUAAAUUGUUCUACCUUUCUGACACAUCUUUUGAGUGAUUUCUAUUUCCAAAAAAUUCAGAUGUUUUCUCAAAGCAGCCCCUGUUGCAUGCUUUAUAUUAUCUAUAUGUAUUCAUUGGAUGUGGGCUUAUGAUUUGGUAUUGUUUUACAAAUAGUGCUAAUCACUAGUCUAAUUUCAUUUGUUUGUAAAAUGUGUGAGAAUUGGAUUAUUAUAAUGGGAAGUCAGGAUCUUGAGAAAGACAGUUGCUCAAUUCUUGGCAAUCUUUGGGGUGGCUAAAACUAUUUUCAAAUAUUUAGUCAUGUUUUAGAGUUAAUUUUUAGUGCUUAUUUUUAUAAUUACUAUAUAAUUUUUAUUAAGUACUAGAUUUUGGAUUCUCAUCAAACUGCUAAAAUAGGAUUUGUUAGUCUCAUGUUAUUGCCUCUGUAGUAGCGAAGUAGAUAACACCUUUAUGAAGGGGUUAAAUAUGUAUAAAUGGGUGUUUGGGAUUUGGGGGAUUUUUACCGCUAACUUCAAAAUUAUAUGGAGAUUACUGUAACUUUCAUUGUAUGAAAAGAUAUCCCAUUAAAUUCAUAGAUGCUAGAAUAUUAGAUAUAUUUAGAGAUUUUUUUUGGUAGCCCCUUUUAGCUAUUUUGUUUUUUUUACUUCUAAUCAUUGAAAUUUAAUUACAUAUAAAUCAGUUGAAAUAGAUUACUUACUGACAUUAAACAUUUUGAAAACCUAAAGUACUUUUUCCUUAGAUUAAGAACAGUCAUACAUAAGUCUGAUAUUCAUACUUUACUGCAUAUCUAAAAUAUAGUAAUGAGCUGAUACUGGAAUUUCAGGUACUAAACUUAGCUUUGUGUCUGAGGGAAGAUUGGUUUUAUGAAAAUCUAAAACUAUUCUAGCUCCUUUUAUGGUCAAAAAAUUAUUUUUCCUUUUGAUUUUCUGUCUUUUGCUACAACUGCCACUAAUUUUUUCUUUAAAAGAACUCAUGAGGAAUGUAAAACCAUGAAUGAGGAUGAAAAUAAAUGUGUGUAAAUAUGUGUAAAUAUGCAACUAAUUCAAUUUUAGAAUAUUUUUGUGCUAUAUUGUUUUGUAUACAUAUUGUUUAUGUAUACUUUAUAAAUAGCAAAGUAUACAUAAAUGUUAAAUGGUUUGUGAUUAUUUUAACUUUGCAUCCUGUAUCUGAAUUUCAUCUGGAUAUCAUACCAGUUCGGUCAGUAGUUAUUACAAGUAUUAAGCAAUUUUGAAAAUUGCCACUUGUUUCUUAGUGAACUGUCUUUAGUUUUCAGCAUUUAGAAAGAAAACAUACCUGUAUAAACCUAACACCAAUAUUCUAGUCUCCAUGCUCCAAGUAUAUAAUUAGUGGUAUUAGGAGAGAAAUGAUGUUAAGGUGGUUUUUAUCAUUUUAUACAUUGAUCGUUCAUUUACCCUUUAUUUGAACUGCAGUGAAACUGACAUUUUAACUGAAAUUGAAUGAAUUCUGCCCAGUUACUGACCAAAUCAUGUCUAGAGGAUGUUUUUUAUGUUCCAGUCUAGGAAAUCUUUUAAAUUGGGGGUUAAUUUUUCAUAUGCUGUUUCCAUUUGUUUUCUUACUGUGUCUGUUGCAUUGUUCUUGUCACAUCUAAGCUUUAUCAUGUCUGAAUUUUUCUAACAUUAAAUCUGUGAUGUAAAAAAAUGUAUGAUGUGCUACAAAUUUCAUGCAUAAUAAACUUAAGUUAUAGCCUAUGUAACCUGUAAAAUAUUUUUUGUAAAUUACCUAAUUUAUUUUUCCAUUUCUGUACAGUUUCUUAUGUAAAUUUUUAACACAUUAGUUGUGGCCUAUUCUGUAAACAUUCCCAUACUAUUUUCUUUAGUGCUUAUUUGCAUGAAAGAAACUUGGGUUUUGCUUGUUUGUAUUAUAUAGCCAUUACGCCAAUUUUAAUAUCUGCCUUUUCUGUAGUUUAACUUUUUCUAAUUUUCUUAAUGUUUUAAAUGUUAAAAUCAUGCUUUU
Molecule: long non-coding RNA, 4303 nt
Organism: Heterocephalus glaber (naked mole-rat)
Lineage: Eukaryota; Metazoa; Chordata; Mammalia; Rodentia; Bathyergidae
Source: Ensembl